AGCUACUGAUGAUUUUUGUAAUUUCUGACACCUCGUAUGAGGCCGCAUGGCCCGAUGAUUCUUCUCUAACAAACUGAAGCUU
Molecule: small nucleolar RNA, 82 nt
Organism: Erpetoichthys calabaricus (reedfish)
Lineage: Eukaryota; Metazoa; Chordata; Cladistia; Polypteriformes; Polypteridae
Source: Ensembl